Molecule: ribosomal RNA, 515 nt
Filed under: Pleosporales sp. RKDO812
Lineage: Eukaryota; Fungi; Ascomycota; Dothideomycetes; Pleosporales
Description: eukaryotic LSU rRNA
Rfam family: 5.8S ribosomal RNA (bases 155-308)
Source: RNAcentral
CGUAUAGUUGAAAAAUACUGAUGAGCGGCUGGUCCUCUGUCUGCACCCUUGUCUUUUGCGCACCCAAGUUUCCUCGGCGGGUUUGCCUGCCGGUUGGACACAACUAUAACCCAUUUUAUUUUCAAUCAGCGUCUGAAAACUUUUGAAUAAUUACAACUUUCAACAACGGAUCUCUUGGUUCUGGCAUCGAUGAAGAACGCAGCGAAAUGCGAUAAGUAGUGUGAAUUGCAGAAUUCAGUGAAUCAUCGAAUCUUUGAACGCACAUUGCGCCCCUUGGUAUUCCAUGGGGCAUGCCUGUUCGAGCGUCAUUUGUAUCUUCAAGCUCUGCUUGGUGUUGGGUGUUUGUCCGCUCCUCUGUGUUUGGACUCGCCUCAAAGCAAUUGGCAGCCAGUGUUUUGGUAUUGAAGCGCAGCACAUUUUGCAAUUCUAGCCUAGAAUACUUGCGUCCAUAAGCCCAUUUUCAACUUUUGACCUCGGAUCAGGUAGGGAUACCCGCUGAACUUAAGCAUAUCAAU